Molecule: long non-coding RNA, 245 nt
Filed under: Brassica napus (rape)
Lineage: Eukaryota; Viridiplantae; Streptophyta; Magnoliopsida; Brassicales; Brassicaceae
Description: long non-coding RNA (BNAP_LNC007016)
Source: RNAcentral
CAUCCAUACUUUCGCCUAAUGCAGCUGACUUUGAUGAUAAUUCUGAUAGCUUGGCCAGAAAGUCAUCAAUCUUAUCAGUGUCCUUCAUCUUUAAGCGGUCGAAUUCAGUCAUUAGGGUUUGUAGUCGCGCCUCUCGAACUCUAUCAGCUCCCACAUAACGAGUUUUGAUCGCAUCCCAUACUUUCCUUGCGGUGUCGAGUCCUCCAGUUUGUAAGAUCAUUGUUUCCGGGAUGGACUGAAACUGA